Molecule: ribosomal RNA, 468 nt
Filed under: uncultured bacterium
Lineage: Bacteria
Description: partial 16S ribosomal RNA
Rfam family: Bacterial small subunit ribosomal RNA
Source: RNAcentral
GACGAACGCUGGCGGCGUGCUUAACACAUGCAAGUCGAACGGAAAGGCCCUGCUUUUGUGGGGUGCUCGAGUGGCGAACGGGUGAGUAACACGUGAGUAACCUGCCCUUGACUUUGGGAUAACUUCAGGAAACUGGGGCUAAUACCGGAUAGGAGCUCCUGCUGCAUGGUGGGGGUUGGAAAGUUUCGGCAGUUGGGGAUGGACUCGCGGCUUAUCAGCUUGUUGGUGGGGUAGUGGCUUACCAAGGCUUUGACGGGUAGCCGGCCUGAGAGGGUGACCGGCCACAUUGGGACUGAGAUACGGCCCAGACUCCUACGGGAGGCAGCAGUGGGGAAUAUUGCACAAUGGGCGGAAGCCUGAUGCAGCAACGCCGCGUGCGGGAUGACGGCCUUAGGGUUGUAAACCGCUUUCGCCUGUGACGAAGCGUGAGUGACGGUAAUGGGUAAAGAAGCACCGGCUAACUACGUG